GAGAACUGCAGAUCGAUUUUCUUAAGGUGAUCAAGAUUAAGUAGUGGGUGUUGCUGUCGUGAGUGGCUAUCCCUCACUGAGUCUUUAGGUUGCUCUGAUACGUAACGGGAUGGGAUCUUUUGUGAUCGAGCGUAGGUUGCUGUUGUGCUGUCGUGAGUGGCCUUGCCUCACUGAGUCCUAGGUUGCUCUGAUACGUAACAGGAUGGGGUUUAUGAUAUGCAUGCUUCAUUUUCUUUACGUGUUCAUUUAUGAUGUUUUAUGAUGUUUAACUGAAUUUAUUGAGAUAUUACGAUGGGACCUGCGUGCCAAGACAAUUUAUGAUUUUUGAAUUAACUCCGCUGCGAUGAUUGAGAUAUUUUGUUGGAAGUUAAAUUGUUAUUUAACUGUUUUUAGAUUAUGU
This 400-nucleotide long non-coding RNA is filed under the name Medicago truncatula (barrel medic). RNAcentral describes it as "lncRNA gene14799". The record is from RNAcentral. Lineage: Eukaryota; Viridiplantae; Streptophyta; Magnoliopsida; Fabales; Fabaceae.